Molecule: small RNA, 125 nt
Filed under: Marmota monax (woodchuck)
Lineage: Eukaryota; Metazoa; Chordata; Mammalia; Rodentia; Sciuridae
Source: RNAcentral
GCUGGGUGUGGUGGCGCACGCCAGUAAUCCCAGCAGCUUGGGAGGCUGAGGCAGGAGGAUUGUGAGCUCAAAGCCAGCCUCAGCAAUGGCAAGGUACUAAGCAACUCUGUGAGACCCUGUCUCUA